UACGUAGGGGGCGAGCGUUAUCCGGAAUCAUUGGGCGUAAAGCGCGUGUAGGCGGUUCCGUAAGUCCGCUCUGAAAGCCCAGGGCUCAACCCUGGGAGGCGGGUGGAUACUACGGAACUGGAGUACGGAAGAGGAGAGCGGAAUUCCUGGUGAGCGGUGAAAUGCGCAGAUAUCAGGAAGAACACCCGUGGCUAAGGCGGCUCUCUAGUACGGUACUGACGCUGAGACGCGAAAGCGUGGGAGCGAACAGG
RNAcentral lists this ribosomal RNA (251 nucleotides) under uncultured bacterium. RNAcentral describes it as "partial 16S ribosomal RNA". It matches the Rfam family "Bacterial small subunit ribosomal RNA", at positions 524 to 776 of the family's 1533-position model. The record is from RNAcentral.